Molecule: long non-coding RNA, 1388 nt
Organism: Bos taurus (domestic cattle)
Lineage: Eukaryota; Metazoa; Chordata; Mammalia; Artiodactyla; Bovidae
Source: Ensembl
ACUUUGUAGAAACUUAGUGGUUAGUGCUUAGCUUUCCUUUUCUAGUUAACAGCAGGUUGGUUAGUUUUCUACCCUCUGUCUUUAGUCCCUAGCCUAGGGACAAUGCUGUGCUCAUUUAGCCUUAGUCUUUCUGUGUUUGUUUUUUUUUUAUUCCAACAGCCUAUUUAUAAAGUUCCUCUCUGUGCUUUGAUUUCUCUUCUCUUGGAGGGAACAAAGGCUACAUAUUUCCUUGCUGCUGCUGCUAAGUCAUUUCAGUCGUGUCCAACUCUGUGCAACCCCUUGGUCGGCAGCCCACCAGGCUCCCCUGUCCAUAGGAUUCUCUAGGCAAGAACAGUGGAGUGGGUUGCCGUUUCCUUCAGGGCUUUUCAAAUAAUGUAGCUUGGCUCAGGUGUUGAAUGAGCUCCUAAAAGGAGGUUUAACCCAGUACUCUUUCCUUGGAGACCUUCAGCGGCUAUGAGUCUCACAGUGCACUGGACCUGGCAUGAUUUUACUGUCCCCUGGCUGGAUAGAGCUGCCACACUCCACCUGGCAACUCCUUUUAAAUUUGGAUUGAGUUUUGUGAGCCCUGAAGGCUAUUUUGGAUCCAACUGUAAGCUCCUGCCAGGACGGGGGUCUCUCUGCUUCCUUUGUAGUUUGCUCACACACCUCGGCUGUUACAUAUAGACUAUAGUUUACAUUUGUAACUCUACUAUUAACUGCCGCUACCACUUGUAUUGGCCAAAGCCAAAGAACUGAAAUAUUAAGAAGUGAAUCUUGGGAUUUCCCUGGCAGUCUGGUGGUUAAGACUCCGAGCUUCCACUGCAGGGGGCACGAGUUUGAUCCCUGAUUGGCGAACUAAAAUCCUACCUGCUGAGCACAGUGGCCAAAUAAAAAGAAAAAGAAAAAAAAAGAGCACACAUGGAGACAACAGAAAGCCUCAUCGCUUAUUUUGUGCAACAAUCCUCUGAUGUCCUGACCACCGUUGACAGGACCAGACGUGGGGAGGACCUAGGUUGGACCAGAGUCCCCUCCCCAGGGAGUCUAGCCUAACUUCUGGAUACUGUCUUAAAUGGAGACAAUGAAAGCAUGAGACCUAGAUCUGCCAUUUUGCACCGUGUAGCCUGGUCUUCGAAGAAAGUGCCUCUUUAAUGAGAGAAAAAAAAAUAGAGUACAAUCACAGCAAGGGACAGAGAUAAAAAAAGACCUCAGGCUUUCCAGUCCUGCUGCUAGUCCCUGUCGGCUGAGGCUAUAUGUCCCCGCCCAGAAUUUUAAUAACAAUUCAUCCCUUUUCACACUGGCUAAAUCCCUGAUAAGGCUCCUGCUGCUCUUUUAUUAUUAUUAAUUAUUUGUAUUGAAGUAUACACUUUGCUGUACAGUAAAGUGUAUCAGUUAUACGUAUACAUAUAUCU